Molecule: long non-coding RNA, 726 nt
Filed under: Mytilus galloprovincialis (Mediterranean mussel)
Lineage: Eukaryota; Metazoa; Mollusca; Bivalvia; Mytilida; Mytilidae
Source: RNAcentral
CUUUGGACCUUAAUGUAGACCAAUUUGAAAACGGGACCAAAAAUUAAGAAUCUACAUACAUAGUUAGAUUCGGCAUAUCAAAGAACCCCAAUUAUUCAAUUUUUGAUGAAAUCACACAAAGUUCAAUUUUGGACCCUUUGGGCCCCUUAUUCCUAAACUGUUCGGACCAAAACUCCCAAAAUCAAACCCAACCUUCCUUUUAUGGUCAUAAACCUUGUGUUUAAAUUUCAUAGAUUUCUAUUUACUUAUACUAAAGUUAUGGUGCAAAAACCAAAAAUAAUGCUUAUUUGGGCCCCUUUUUGGCCCCUAAUUCAUAAACUGUUGUGGCCUCAACUCCAAAAAUCAAUCCCAACCUUCCUUUUGUGGUCAUAAACCUUGUGUUAAAAUUUCAUUGAUUUCUAUUUACUUAUACUAAAGUUAUUGUGCGAAAACCAAGAAUAAUGCUUAUUUGGGCCCUUUUUUGGCCUUAAUUCCUAAACUGUUGGAACCAAAACUCCCAAAAUCAAUCCCAACCUUCCUUUUGUGGUCAUAAACCUUGUGUCAAAAUUUCAUAGAUUUCUAUUCACUUAAACUAAAGUUAUAGUGCGAAAACCAAGAAAAUGCUUAUUUGGGCCCUUUUUGGCCCCUAAUUCCUAAAAUGUUGGGACCAAAACUCCCAAAAUCAAUCCCAACUUUCCUUUUGUGGUCAUAAACCUUGUGUUAAAAUUUCAUUGAUUUCUAUUCACU